RNAcentral lists this ribosomal RNA (793 nucleotides) under uncultured bacterium. RNAcentral describes it as "bacterial SSU rRNA". It matches the Rfam family "Bacterial small subunit ribosomal RNA", at positions 8 to 796 of the family's 1533-position model. The record is from RNAcentral.
AGAGUUUGAUCCUGGCUCAGAUUGAACGCUGGCGGCAGGCCUAACACAUGCAAGUCGAGCGGUAGAGAGAAGCUUGCUUCUCUUGAGAGCGGCGGACGGGUGAGUAAUGCCUAGGAAUCUGCCUGGUAGUGGGGGAUAACGUUCGGAAACGGACGCUAAUACCGCAUACGUCCUACGGGAGAAAGCAGGGGACCUUCGGGCCUUGCGCUAUCAGAUGAGCCUAGGUCGGAUUAGCUAGUUGGUGAGGUAAUGGCUCACCAAGGCGACGAUCCGUAACUGGUCUGAGAGGAUGAUCAGUCACACUGGAACUGAGACACGGUCCAGACUCCUACGGGAGGCAGCAGUGGGGAAUAUUGGACAAUGGGCGAAAGCCUGAUCCAGCCAUGCCGCGUGUGUGAAGAAGGUCUUCGGAUUGUAAAGCACUUUAAGUUGGGAGGAAGGGUUGUGGAUUAAUACUCUGCAAUUUUGACGUUACCGACAGAAUAAGCACCGGCUAACUCUGUGCCAGCAGCCGCGGUAAUACAGAGGGUGCAAGCGUUAAUCGGAAUUACUGGGCGUAAAGCGCGCGUAGGUGGUUUGUUAAGUUGGAUGUGAAAUCCCCGGGCUCAACCUGGGAACUGCAUUCAAAACUGACUGACUAGAGUAUGGUAGAGGGUGGUGGAAUUUCCUGUGUAGCGGUGAAAUGCGUAGAUAUAGGAAGGAACACCAGUGGCGAAGGCGACCACCUGGACUAAUACUGACACUGAGGUGCGAAAGCGUGGGGAGCAAACAGGAUUAGAUACCCUGGUAGUCC